This 253-nucleotide ribosomal RNA is filed under the name uncultured bacterium. RNAcentral's name for it is "partial 16S ribosomal RNA". It matches the Rfam family "Bacterial small subunit ribosomal RNA", at positions 524 to 776 of the family's 1533-position model. The record is from RNAcentral.
UACGUAGGGGGCAAGCGUUGUCCGGAUUUAUUGGGCGUAAAGAGCGUGUAGGCGGCCAGGUAGGUCUGCUGUGAAAACUCGAGGCUUAACCUCGAGCUGUCGGCGGAAACCAUCUGGCUAGAGUCCGGAAGAGGAGAAUGGAAUUCCCGGUGUAGCGGUGAAAUGCGCAGAUAUCGGGAAGAACACCGAUGGCGAAGGCAGGUCUCUGGGCCACUACUGACGCUGAGAAGCGAAAGCAUGGGGAGCGAACAGG